AUUGCUGUUAGCCUUGCCCAAGGUGGCCCAGCUCCAGCGCUUUUUAAAGACUGGUGCUACAACUUUUUCUGCAGUGGAGAAGUGGACUUAGGCUCUCUGAAUAAAGAGGAUGUAACAGAUUUGGACUCUGCCCUACUAAUCAGCAGGGUUGAAAAUGCAGCAGAUGCAGAGUCUUUAAUGUUGUUGGCGGAGGACUUUGUAAACUGUGGAUACACCACCCAGAUCAAGAUGGACAACAAAGAACUGAUAAUUCGUGCUAUUAUUUUGCAUUCCACCACGAGACUAAUUCCAAUGCUGCAACAACUCAGGAAGGGCCUGAAACUCUAUGGUCUGGUCAACCAGAUGAAUGUAAAUGCUGAGGCUUGUCGACCCCCGUUUGUUCCGGGGACAAUCACCAAACCAGAUGCUGACUUCAUCAUGAUGAAUUGCCAGCCACAAUACAGUGAAAAGGGGACAUCCAAAGAAAGAGCUGAGAGGAAUAUUAUAAACUUCCUGCAAGAUUUCUUGGAGGAGCUUGAGAUAUCAGAAAGGGACACGGCAGGUGCGUCAGGUGAAGUGUCAGAAUGUCUUGCAGUCCAGCAUGUGCUUCAGUGGAUGACAGGGCAAGCCCUCACUCCCAUUCUUCCAAGUGAAAAGCAAGAUUUUAAGAUAACAUUCAGGUUUGACCACGAGUGCAGGGAGCGUUUAGGGGAUCACUCCAUUUGCUAUCCAGUAGUGAGUGCAUGUACGUGUACUGUCACAUUUCCAGUACGACAUUUGAAAACUUACUCUGAGUUUCAAAGGAUCAUGACAGAAGCUGUUCAGCAUGGUGGUGGAUUCCAUAGAGUUUAACAUUUAUAUAUCUUUUUAAAGGCAGUUAACACUGGGGGAACUAAUCAACCCACCCAGCUGAUUUAGCCCAUUUCAUAAGUUAAAAUAAAUAUAAAGUUAAAAUAAAAUUAACUUGAUGGAAGUUUAAUUGCAAUGAAAAUAGAAAUACUGAAGAAAACACAUCACAUAGAAGUUUCAAAAUUAUUUGCAGUCCAGUUUAUUUCUUAGCAACUUAUCAAUUUUUCUGUCUCUCAGGAAACAAAGCUUAAAAUAACAUUAAAAUGCGUAAAUUUCUGUGUGGAGAACCUGUUUGAUGUUCUGAACUGAUGAAACUGGCAGGUGUUAUUUAAACUGUCCAGAUUUAUGUAAAAAGUCUAAUACUCAAAUGUUGAUGUUUUGACACCAUGUUUUGUAUUCAAUGUACAAGUCUCAGCCAUGUUCUUCAGAAGGAUCUAGAGGAUUGAUGGUUCUCUGAAGUUCUGCAAGGGUGUCUUCAUCCAAUGGGCACUCAACCUCAGGAACCACAACUGCACUGUUGUCUUCUUGGAGCACAGCACUCUCCCAGUCAAUUCCUGGGUCCCGAAGGUCCUUCAAGCCCAGACACAGGAGAAGUGAUCAACAUAAGUUGACCGGGGAGCGUGCCUGUCCCGACGGAACUUUUUUUGCGGGAUACAUCUUGGACCCGUGGCAGAAAUGGUCCACGGUGUGCCUCUCAAUUCUUUCUGUUGAGGACGUCGAAGAUGUCUACUUAUUCGGAUUUAUGAUACUUGGAUUCCUCAUUUUUGGCUUUGGAGGAUAUUUAAUGUAUCAACACCUUCAAAAGCUGCUGGCGGUAAAUAUGGCCCUGAUGAGACUGCCAGUGGCAGUCGACGCGAUCACGAGGUCGUUGAAUGAACAAAACGGACGGCUUGAUAAGCUGACCGCGGUUGUGGUACAGAGGUGAGAUGGGAUAAAACCUGGAAGUGUGAACGUUACUAGCCCAUCGAUUGGAUUAUUGGAAUAUUGGAUCCUGGAGCCAGCGGCGAAAAGACUCUAAGGCUGACAGAAAAGUUGGUGUCAGCUUGUUCUCAUAACAAAUUCUGUUUUCUUCAAAUCGGACUCCCCGCUAUCAAAUUCUCCCUGGUUGUUAUGGCGACAUCGCACAAAUUCCCUGCUACCCCACAUUCCUGCGGACAUCUGUGGAGGAGUCAAGCCGGAGCGGCAGAGUGAUAAGACUUUCCACCAAGGACACUUGCCUGCCGGAGGACGGCCUUCAUGGACAUACAGAUUUCCACACAACAUGCACCCAGACACACAUAUGCUCACAAAUACAGAUGACUUACCCGACCAGAAC
This is a long non-coding RNA of Fundulus heteroclitus (mummichog), 2143 nucleotides long. RefSeq lists it as uncharacterized. NCBI's taxonomy places the organism in Eukaryota, Metazoa, Chordata, Actinopteri, Cyprinodontiformes, Fundulidae. The transcript has 5 exons. The record is from RefSeq and is a predicted model, not a curated record.